This 491-nucleotide ribosomal RNA is filed under the name uncultured bacterium. RNAcentral describes it as "partial 16S ribosomal RNA". It matches the Rfam family "Bacterial small subunit ribosomal RNA", at positions 29 to 507 of the family's 1533-position model. The record is from RNAcentral.
AGUGAACGCUGGCGGUAGGCCUAACACAUGCAAGUCGAACGGCAGCACAGUAAGAGCUUGCUCUUACGGGUGGCGAGUGGCGGACGGGUGAGGAAUACAUCGGAAUCUACUUUUUCGUGGGGGAUAACGUAGGGAAACUUACGCUAAUACCGCAUACGACCUACGGGUGAAAGCAGGGGAUCUUCGGACCUUGCGCGAUUGAAUGAGCCGAUGUGGGAUUAGCUAGUUGGCGGGGUAAAGGCCCACCAAGGCGACGAUCCGUAGCUGGUCUGAGGGGAUGAUCCGCCCCCCUGGACCGGGGCCACGGCCCAGACUCCAACGGGGGGCAGCAGUGGGGAAUAUUGGACAAUGGGCGCAACCCUGAUCCAGCCAUCCCGCGUGGUGAAGAAGGCCUUCGGGUUGUAAAGCCCUUUUGUUGGGAAAGAAAAGCAGCAGGUUAAUACCCCGCUGUUCUGACGGUACCCAAAGAAUAAGCACCGGCUAACUUCGUG